GUGCUCUUAACCACUGAGCAAUCUCUCCAGCCCGACUCUGCAAGUUUCAGUGAGAUAUACAUGUUAGAAGCCUUCCCACAGGCUGUUUACCUAAAGAAACCACUGUUUUCCUGAGGCACUGACUAUCCAGAUGACAGUGUCCCACUGUGUGUCCCACAAAUAUGCUGGGCAAUCAGGGAUGCCUGUCUCACACUGGCAUUUUAUUGCUGACCUGCUGUACAGAUUCUUUUGACCACAACUUCAUGCCUGUUUAGUGCUAGACACCACAGGAGUUGCAAAGCACCACAACCCAAGGACACGCUUCCCAAAGCUGAAGUCAUCACAAAAGUCAGGACAGAGCUCCAGAAGGCACUGUACAAGAACUCAUGGUUAAGGCUGGCCAGCUCCCACACGUCUGCUACCACAGCUACUCUGCAGCCCAGACUGCAGGAUCCAGAAG
Molecule: long non-coding RNA, 439 nt
Organism: Mus caroli (Ryukyu mouse)
Lineage: Eukaryota; Metazoa; Chordata; Mammalia; Rodentia; Muridae
Source: RefSeq, a predicted model, not a curated record